UUAUUCAUUUCCAUUUUUAAAGAUCCACAGGGAGCCACUGGAGAGGAGCUAAAGAGCUGCAUGUGGCUCCGGAGCUGCAGGUUGCUGACCCCUGGUUUAGGCCAAGGAAAUAGAGAUAGUCUUGCCGGUUGAAGAGGAUGUAGAGGUGGCUGAAGAUGAUGAGCGGCGGCGGCAGGAUGGGACGGUCGUGAAACGUCAAGAUCAGCUGAUAUCUCUGGAACUUCCACACCUGGUUGGAAAUGGACUUCACUUCUAAGAAAGUGUUGCUGUGGGACAGGAAACAAAGACCAGUGAGUGCUUGAUAGGAUGCAUCAUCUCCAAGACGGAAAUCCAACAGUAGAAUCAGAGGAGGAAAGAAGAUCCCCAGAAUAACCUAUAGUGUGUCAGGCCCACCGUGUUGUACAACUCCUCCAGUCUGGGAAUGGUGAGGAAGUGGUGAAUGUUGACCCCGUUCUCGAGGAGCAGUUUGACAAAGUCCACUCUGUCCAGCACCAAAGCGUCCAUCAUAGCCUGCUCCAGAGAGUUCACCUAAGAGAGAAAGGUCUGUUUCCUCUGGUGGUUCAGGCUUUGCCUUUCCCUUCCCCUUUCCCUUCUUCCCCCGGGCUUUGUUUCGAGGAGCACUGGCGGGACUCUUCUGUUUCUCCUGGGCCGGGACUACAGCAGUCGUAGCGGUGGCCAUGGCACCGGCAGGCUUAACAAGCAGGAAAUAAGUGUGGAAGAUCUCGGCUCGUGUGAGAAGACAGAGCAGACCCGGCUAACCUAAAAAGCCCACUGCGGUCUCAUUCAGAGGCUCCCCAACAUUUCAUUUGAAAAAAUGUUUCACCCCCUCCAACUACUUUGAUUUCAACCCAAUUUGCAUAAUUGAGAGAAUUGGAUGCAGGCAUUCCUUUGGAAGGCGCCUUGUUAAGACAUGACUGCUCUCCAGUUGGGGGCAAGGUCAGUCAAUGCUAAUUGCAGUUAAUCUUUAUUCCCAUCCACCAUGUUUUGUGGAGGAAAAAGAAAACUCAGCAGAGCAGCUAUUCAAUAUUCUCUUUUGCUCAUGUUAAGUGGAUUUGCAUUUUAAAAAGAUUUUGUAUAAUAAAUACUAUCCUCCCAGCAGACUGAAAAGGGAUAUUACUGUUUUGAAAAAUCACAUUUAGCCCACUGGCUGCUAUCCAACAGUGUAAACUGUGGGCUAAAACAGAUCAUUGGAUAUCAAUAGGCUUCUGUUUGGGUAAGGGAAAGUCAUGAUUUCUUUAGAUUCGUUUAAAAUGAAUCCUGUUUAUUGUACAUGCUGGACUUAAUGGAGUAAUUCAAUUAAAACCAUUUAAAGUUAUCAAGGAGCAUGCUUAAAUAUGAAGAGGAGGGCAUUAGGUGAGCUAGGAGCUGAGAUGGAGUUAACAAGCACAAAGUUGUAGACAUCCAUUUAAUACCUCCCUCAUGUGAAAUGGUUUAAUAAGCUCUCCUUUUAUGGUUGAAGUGAGCAGUUUGAGUUUGACUCUAAGUCAGAGUGAUAAAGACAAAGAGAGGUUGGUGGUUGAUGACUCAGAAAGACAGACUGAAAGAGAGAGAGAGGCCUAACAUGUCCCCCAACUUGCCCCUUUUGGUCCUGCUCCGGUUAAAAAACACACGUGGGUCGCUGUUAAUUAUAGCCGGGGAAAACAAAAGCGCAUUUCCAGAAGGGUUUGGUGAGCAUGUCGCAGCUCUUUCAGCUUACUUAAACUCAUUAACCACAGCAAUUAAAACCUAAAAUCCAGUCAGCGACCAGCUGCCUCGUUAAGAGCUGCCUCUGAGCACUUAACAACAAAAACCUUAAAGAAUUAGAUACCGCAGGAUCGGAUUGGGUCACAGCGAGCAAAUUAACGAGACUUAAGACAAGCCUCGGAACAAUAAACAACAUUGAGUCCAAAGUGCAGAAUUUUCUGAGGAAAUGGUCGUUCGAAACAAAAGACAAUUGUGUGAAAUGGAAAAAAGUGCUGGAUUGCUGAGGAGGUCACAGAAAAGGUAGAUGUAUGACCUCUUUUUUUGUAUUAGCUGUACUGAUGCAGUGAUGCGUUUCCUCCCAAUUACCACUGGUUUUAUAUGCAUAUGUUAAUAAGAAUAUGUACUUCUACCAGUUUCACAAUGCAGUAGACACAGUAUUUGUUGCCAGUUGAGAUGUAUGCCAUACAUUCAUGACCUUUUUGCACUAGCAUCACAUGGUCCUGGUCUCCUGACCCACAGCUUAGCGAGCAACAAGAUCACAGCAAAUUUGUUCCAGUGCUGCUACAAUUACACGGACCGUUCAGCUCCCAGCAGUCAUAAGGAAAAAGGUAUAAUGACAGCUGUAUUUCUGUGCGUUGACCAUCUGACCUGGUCAAUUUCAGUGCAUUUUGAACACAUAAUUGUGUGGCUUUAAAAACUAUAUGUUUGAUUUAUUCUGAAUAUUGAAGCAAUGAAGGACUUCACGCAACGAAAAGCCUCAUCAGCACAAGUGAAAUGGAUCAGAAAGGAUUUGGGGGUCCUAAAGGAAUGUCACCAGGGUUGAAGAUAAAAGCAACUAAUUGCUCGGCUUUGGUAUUGAAUGGCGAUGUGGUUGGAGCUUGAUGCAGUGUGACAGGAAGGAAG
Sebastes umbrosus (honeycomb rockfish) is the source of this 2586-nucleotide long non-coding RNA. RefSeq lists it as uncharacterized. The transcript has 6 exons. NCBI's taxonomy places the organism in Eukaryota, Metazoa, Chordata, Actinopteri, Perciformes, Sebastidae. The record is from RefSeq and is a predicted model, not a curated record.